UAGGGAGCGAGCGUUAUCCGGAUUUAUUGGGUGUAAAGGGUGCGUAGGCGGCUUCUUAAGUUUGUAGUCUAAGCCCGGAGCUUAACUCCGGUUCGCUACAAAAACUGAGUUGCUUGAGUAUGGUAGAGGCAAGUGGAAUUUCUAGUGUAGCGGUUAAAUGCGUAGAUAUUAGAAGGAACACCAGUGGCGAAGGCGACUUGCUGGGCCAUUACUGACGCUGAGGCACGAAAGCGUGGGGAGC
RNAcentral lists this ribosomal RNA (241 nucleotides) under uncultured bacterium. RNAcentral's name for it is "partial 16S ribosomal RNA". It matches the Rfam family "Bacterial small subunit ribosomal RNA", at positions 528 to 769 of the family's 1533-position model. The record is from RNAcentral.